Cyprinodon tularosa is the source of this 682-nucleotide non-coding RNA. The record is from the annotation of a RefSeq genome assembly. NCBI's taxonomy places the organism in Eukaryota, Metazoa, Chordata, Actinopteri, Cyprinodontiformes, Cyprinodontidae.
GUGAGAGGCAGUUAAGAGGAAGUCAGUGUGGUCUGCAGAAAACAACUGAUGUCAGUGACAGAACAACAAAGACAGGAUGAAGGCAGACUGGAUCAUGAAGAUUCUCAUAAGUUUGGUUAUCAUGUCCGGGUUUGGGAUGCUGUCCCUGUCGGUUCCAGCUGCUGAGUUCCAGCUCGUCCACUUUGGCUCUAACAUCACUCUGGGCUGUAACGUCUCCUACCUCUAUGCCACAACGUGGCUCAAACAAAACCCAGACCUCAUUCCUACGGUGAUCCUGUACGCCAACCUCAAAGACGGACGACCGCAUGAAUCGUUUCGGCUCAGUCCUCGGCAUUCAGUGGGCCUGAUGAACCGAUCCCUGGCUCUGAGGAUCACUGGAGUGGAAGCGGGGGACCUGGGCCUGUACUACUGUAUCGGCGGCGUGAAUUCAGGGGUGAUCAUUGGAAAAGGAACAAGGAUUUACAGUUCAGCCGAGGUUCUUUUACAACAUGGCUACCUUGCAGCUGUAUGUUCUUUGUUGUUGAUUAUGAUUCUGAGUGUUUGCACCGCUUUCUGGAAAUCCAGACAGAGGAAGUAGAAGUUUCAACAAAAAGAACAACCUUUACUAGAAAAACAACAAAGGGUGUCUGAAGGACAGCAGUUUUAUCUGUUUCGAUGAAUUCAGUCUGUUUGACAUGAACUC